Non-coding RNA from Pelobates cultripes (western spadefoot toad), 79 nucleotides. The record is from the annotation of a GenBank genome assembly. NCBI's taxonomy places the organism in Eukaryota, Metazoa, Chordata, Amphibia, Anura, Pelobatidae.
UUGUUAUGAUGAUGCAGAGUGUGGUUUCAUUUCUUACUGAUAAGCAAUGAAGUUAAUUUUCUCUUGGCUGUCUGAACAA